This 502-nucleotide ribosomal RNA is filed under the name uncultured Oscillospiraceae bacterium. RNAcentral's name for it is "bacterial SSU rRNA". It matches the Rfam family "Bacterial small subunit ribosomal RNA", at positions 8 to 507 of the family's 1533-position model. The record is from RNAcentral. Lineage: Bacteria; Bacillati; Bacillota; Clostridia; Eubacteriales; Oscillospiraceae.
AGAGUUUGAUCCUGGCUCAGGAUGAACGCUGGCGGCGUGCUUAACACAUGCAAGUCGAACGGAGUACCCUUGAAGGAGUUUUCGGACAACUGAAAGGACUACUUAGUGGCGGACGGGUGAGUAACGCGUGAGUAACCUGCCUUGGAUGGGGAAUAACAGUUGGAAACAGCUGCUAAUACCGCAUAAUAUGUCUGUGUCGCAUGGCACUGGACAUCAAAGAUUUAUCGCUCUGAGAUGGACUCGCGUCUGAUUAGCUGGUUGGCGGGGUAACGGCCCACCAAGGCGACGAUCAGUAGCCGGACUGAGAGGUUGGCCGGCCACAUUGGGACUGAGACACGGCCCAGACUCCUACGGGAGGCAGCAGUGGGGAAUAUUGGGCAAUGGGCGCAAGCCUGACCCAGCAACGCCGCGUGAAGGAAGAAGGCUUUCGGGUUGUAAACUUCUUUUCUCAGGGACGAAGAAAGUGACGGUACCUAAGGAAUAAGCCACGGCUAACUACGUG